GUCUCUAUGGCUCAGUCGGUAGAGCGUUGGUCUCAUAUUACGCAUAUGAGUCGGUGGUACACCCUCGACAUAAUUCACAUCCAAAGGUCGCAAGUUCGAACCUUGCUAGGGACA
Non-coding RNA from Gnomoniopsis sp. IMI 355080, 114 nucleotides. NCBI's taxonomy places the organism in Eukaryota, Fungi, Ascomycota, Sordariomycetes, Diaporthales, Gnomoniaceae. The record is from the annotation of a GenBank genome assembly.